This 725-nucleotide long non-coding RNA is filed under the name Homo sapiens (human). RNAcentral describes it as "HSALNT0242530". Lineage: Eukaryota; Metazoa; Chordata; Mammalia; Primates; Hominidae. The record is from RNAcentral.
UUGGAGAAACUGGUUGUUUUACCAAAGGCUUGACUGGAAUGGCGUGCUUUUCUUUAAGGAAUCAAACUUGACUUAUAGAGCCAAUAAAAACCCCUUAGAAGAAAACUGGCUGCAUACCAUGCCUACACAGUUCCUGAAUAGGGUUCCUGAUCUGUGCUGUGCUUUCUUAAAACUCUGCAAACUGAAGCUAGACAACUUAAACAUCAGAAGAAAAUAACAGCAACCAUAUACAUAUGACAUGAGACUUCCCAGCCUGCUAAAGGUGAACUUUCCUGAUAACUUGGGACCUACCAUCUAGGAAUAAACUGUCCUAGCCAUGAGAGAUCAGAUGAAACCUGAGACCAGAGAUUCAUUUCCUUCUAAUAUGCUUUCUCCCAAAGCUUUUCAAAAGAAAAGGGGGGAAAUGUGAAAGGAAAAAAAAUCUUGGGGCCCCCAAAUCACUAAGCUAAAGGGAAAAGUCAAACUGGGAACCACUUAGGGCAAACCUGCCUCCCAUUCUAUUCAAAGUCAUCCCUCUGCUCACUGAGAUAAAUGCACAUCUGAUUGCCUCCUUUGGAAAGGCUAAUCAGAAACUCAAAAGAAUGCAACCAUUUGUCUCUCACCGACCUGUGACCUGGAAGCCCCCUCCCUGCUUCAAGUUAUCCUGCCUUUCUGGACAGAACCAAUGUGUACCUCUUACAUGUACUGAUUGAUGUCUCAUGUCUCUCUACAAUGUGUAAAACCAA